CUUCACCGAACCCAGCCACAACGGCUGUCCGGCGUCGCGGCCCUGGCCGUAGGUGUCCAGCAGCGCCUGCGCCUC
Streptomyces albus subsp. albus is the source of this 75-nucleotide non-coding RNA. The record is from Rfam. Lineage: Bacteria; Bacillati; Actinomycetota; Actinomycetes; Kitasatosporales; Streptomycetaceae.